Molecule: ribosomal RNA, 663 nt
Filed under: fungal endophyte sp. g87
Lineage: Eukaryota; Fungi
Description: eukaryotic LSU rRNA
Rfam family: 5.8S ribosomal RNA (bases 261-414)
Source: RNAcentral
CUUGGUCAUUUAGAGGAUGUAAAAGUCGUAACAAGGUUUCCGUAGGUGAACCUGCGGAAGGAUCAUUAUCGAGUUUUGAACGGGUUGUCUGCUGGCUCGCAAGGGCAUGUGCACGCCUGUCUCAUCCACUCUCAACUUCUGUGCACUUUUCAUAGGCCGGCUUGUGGGUGCGUUCGCGCACUUGUAGGUGUCGGGCUUAUGCUUUACUACAAACGAUUCAGUUUUAGAAUGUCAUACUUUGCUAUAACGCAAUUAUAUACAACUUUCAGCAACGGAUCUCUUGGCUCUCGCAUCGAUGAAGAACGCAGCGAAAUGCGAUAAGUAAUGUGAAUUGCAGAAUUCAGUGAAUCAUCGAAUCUUUGAACGCACCUUGCGCUCCUUGGUAUUCCGAGGAGCAUGCCUGUUUGAGUCUCAUGGGAUUCUCAACCUUCAGCUUUAUUGAUGAAGGCUUGGACUUGGAGGUCGUGCCGGCUCUCGUAGUCGGCUCCUCUGAAAUGCAUUAGUGCGAACGUUACCAGCCGCUUCAGCGUGAUAAUUAUCUGCGUUGCUGUGGAGGGUAUUCUAGUGUUCACGCUUCUAACCGUCUUCGGACAAAUUUCUGAACUCUGAGCUCAAAUCAGGUAGGACUACCCGCUGAACUUAAGCAUAUCAAUAAGCGGAGGA